RNAcentral lists this ribosomal RNA (514 nucleotides) under Enterococcus faecium. RNAcentral describes it as "bacterial SSU rRNA". It matches the Rfam family "Bacterial small subunit ribosomal RNA", at positions 17 to 502 of the family's 1533-position model. Lineage: Bacteria; Bacillati; Bacillota; Bacilli; Lactobacillales; Enterococcaceae. The record is from RNAcentral.
AUCCGGCUCAGGACGAACGCUGGCGGCGUGCCUAAUACAUGCAAGUCGAACGCUUCUUUUUCCACCGGAGCUUGCUCCACCGGAAAAAGAGGAGUGGCGAACGGGUGAGUAACACGUGGGUAACCUGCCCAUCAGAAGGGGAUAACACUUGGAAACAGGUGCUAAUACCGUAUAACAAUCGAAACCGCAUGGUUUUGAUUUGAAAGGCGCUUUCGGGUGUCGCUGAUGGAUGGACCCGCGGUGCAUUAGCUAGUUGGUGAGGUAACGGCUCACCAAGGCCACGAUGCAUAGCCGACCUGAGAGGGUGAUCGGCCACAUUGGGACUGAGACACGGCCCAAACUCCUACGGGAGGCAGCAGUAGGGAAUCUUCGGCAAUGGACGAAAGUCUGACCGAGCAACGCCGCGUGAGUGAAGAAGGUUUUCGGAUCGUAAAACUCUGUUGUUAGAGAAGAACAAGGAUGAGAGUAACUGUUCAUCCCUUGACGGUAUCUAACCAGAAAGCCACGGCUAACU